Molecule: transfer RNA, 72 nt
Filed under: Marmota monax (woodchuck)
Lineage: Eukaryota; Metazoa; Chordata; Mammalia; Rodentia; Sciuridae
Description: tRNA.Ala
Source: RNAcentral
GGGGAUGUGGCUCAAGAGGUACCGCGCUCACCUAGCACGUGUGAGGCACUGGGUUCGAUUCUCAGCACCACA